This 319-nucleotide ribosomal RNA is filed under the name uncultured eukaryote. RNAcentral describes it as "partial 18S ribosomal RNA". It matches the Rfam family "Eukaryotic small subunit ribosomal RNA", at positions 1470 to 1796 of the family's 1831-position model. The record is from RNAcentral.
CCCUUAGAUGUUCUGGGCAGCACGCGCGCUACAAUGGUCUUCGCAAACGGAUGCAUUCUCGAAGGAGAAUGCCAAUCUUGGAAUCUAUGCCUUGGUCGGGACAGUUGCUUGCAAUUUUUCGACUCGAACCAGGAAUUCCUUGUAAUCGUGAUUCAUCACAUCACGAUGAAUACGUCCCUGCCCUUUGUACACACCGCCCGUCGCACCUACCGAUUGAAUGGUCCGGUGAAAUCUCCGGACUGGCGUGAGUCGGAGCAAUCUGGCAAACGCCGGAAAGUUGAUUAAACCUUACCAUUUAGAGGAAGGUGAAGUCGUAACA